UACGUAGGGUGCGAGCGUUAAUCGGAAUUACUGGGCGUAAAGCGUGCGCAGGCGGUUUUGUAAGCCAGAUGUGAAAUCCCCGGGCUUAACCUGGGAAUGGCGAUGGAUACUGGCGAGCUAGAGUGAGGUAGAGGAGAGUGGAAUUCCCGGUGUAGCAGUGAAAUGCGUAGAGAUCGGGAGGAACAUCAGUUGCGAAGGCGGCUCUCUGGACCAUCACUGACACUGAGGCACGAAAGCGUGGGGAGCAAACAGG
RNAcentral lists this ribosomal RNA (253 nucleotides) under uncultured bacterium. RNAcentral describes it as "partial 16S ribosomal RNA". It matches the Rfam family "Bacterial small subunit ribosomal RNA", at positions 524 to 776 of the family's 1533-position model. The record is from RNAcentral.